CAGUCGCCACGGUAAAACAGAGGGUGCGAGCGUUAAUCGGAUUUACUGGGCGUAAAGCGUGCGUAGGCGGCUUCUUAAGUCGGAUGUGAAAUCCCUGAGCUUAACUUAGGAAUUGCAUUCGAUACUGGGAAGCUAGAGUAUGGGAGAGGAUGGUAGAAUUCCAGGUGUAGCGGUGAAAUGCGUAGAGAUCUGGAGGAAUACCGAUGGCGAAGGCAGCCAUCUGGCCUAAUACUGACGCUGAGGUACGAAAGCAUGGGGAGCAAACAGGAUUAGAUACCCCGGUAGUCCCUGUCUCUUAUAC
This 301-nucleotide ribosomal RNA is filed under the name uncultured bacterium. RNAcentral's name for it is "partial 16S ribosomal RNA". It matches the Rfam family "Bacterial small subunit ribosomal RNA", at positions 509 to 807 of the family's 1533-position model. The record is from RNAcentral.